GUCUAUGGCCAUACCACCCUGAAUGUGCCAAAUCUCAUCCAAUCUUAGAAGCUAAGUACGGUUGGGCCUGGUUAGUACUUAGAUGGGAGAAAGUUAUGUUGCAUGAAAACCCAUCAGGUUUCAGCUGACU
Ribosomal RNA from Prolemur simus (greater bamboo lemur), 130 nucleotides. The record is from Ensembl. Lineage: Eukaryota; Metazoa; Chordata; Mammalia; Primates; Lemuridae.